GGGGAAUAUUGGACAAUGGGCGCAAGCCUGAUCCAGCCAUGCCGCGUGAGUGAUGAAGGCCCUAGGGUUGUAAAGCUCUUUCACCGGUGAAGAUAAUGACGGUAACCGGAGAAGAAGCCCCGGCUAACUUCGUGCCAGCAGCCGCGGUAAUACGAAGGGGGCUAGCGUUGUUCGGAAUUACUGGGCGUAAAGCGCACGUAGGCGGAUUGGUCAGUUAGGGGUGAAAUCCCAGGGCUCAACCCUGGAACUGCCUUUAAUACUGCCAGUCUUGAGUCCGAGAGAGGUGAGUGGAAUUCCGAGUGUAGAGGUGAAAUUCGUAGAUAUUCGGAGGAACACCAGUAGCGAAGGCGGCUCACUAGCUCGGUACUGACGCUGAGGUGCGAAAGCGUGGGGAGCAAAC
This 400-nucleotide ribosomal RNA is filed under the name uncultured bacterium. RNAcentral's name for it is "bacterial SSU rRNA". It matches the Rfam family "Bacterial small subunit ribosomal RNA", at positions 356 to 773 of the family's 1533-position model. The record is from RNAcentral.